This 468-nucleotide ribosomal RNA is filed under the name uncultured bacterium. RNAcentral's name for it is "partial 16S ribosomal RNA". It matches the Rfam family "Bacterial small subunit ribosomal RNA", at positions 28 to 507 of the family's 1533-position model. The record is from RNAcentral.
GACGAACGCUGGCGGCGUGCUUAACACAUGCCAGUCGAACGGAAAGGCCCUGCUUUUGUGGGGUGCUCGAGUGGCGAACGGGUGAGUAACACGUGAGUAACCUGCCCUUGACUUUGGGAUAACUUAAGGAAACUGGGGCUAAUACCGGAUAGGAGCUCCUGCUGCAGGGUGGGGUUUGGAAAGUUUCGGCGGUUGGGGAUGGACUCGCGGCUUUUCAGCUUGUUUGUGGGGUAGUGGCUUACCAAGGCUUUGACGGGUAGCCGGCCUGAGAGGGGGACCGGCAACAUUGGGGCUGAGAUACGGCCCAGACUCCUACGGGAGGCAGCAGUGGGGAAUAUUGCACAAUGGGCGGAAGCCUGAUGCAGCAACGCCGCGUGCGGGAUGACGGCCUUCGGGUUGUAAACCGUUUUCGCCUGUGACGAAGCGUGAGUGACGGUAAUGGGUAAAGAAGCACCGGCUAACUACGUG